UUAACCCUCUGAUGGUCAUCGUCAAAAUAGGGACCCUUUUGGGUCCCCUUGGAUUUUUGAUUCUCAAUAUAUCAGUCAUUUUAAAGACUAGUUGCAUGAAACUUGGCUAGGAGUUGCAUUUUAGCAUUAUUUUUAAAAUUCAUUGAUCCCCUCUAUGGUGUUGUGUAUAGUAAAGGAGAUUCACAUAAGUGUUACCGUCUGUGGUCCUCGUACCAUUUUGGGUCCCAUUGACUCCCAUUAUAAUCACAUAUUUUCGAUAUACUGUAAUCCUGACAUGUGAUAAUUUUUUUCUCGUGAAUACCUAAUGGAUCUAAGCCUCAGGCUUCAAAAUAAAGGAAAAAUAUGUUUCGGAUCCAAUGAGCACAAUAUUAGGUACAGCACCACCAUAGACAUUUUCAGUGGUUUUGAAUGCAGGACAUGGUUAUCUUAUUAUGCAAAAUACAUGACAAUAAAACAGCUGACCACCAUAAAAUAGUCUCGAUGUAGUGGAACUGAUAUAAGAGAGUGGUGUGAAUGUGAUUGAGAAUAUAUUUAUAAUAUAUAUUACGGGUUUCCCCCCCCACCCCCCACCCCCAAAAUAAAUAAAUAAAAAAUAAACAGGGGUCUUUAUGACAAUAAAGCUAUAAAAACAUAAAAAAUAUUUACAAAUUUAUGAAAAACUUUAUAUCUGUGGAUAGGUCUGAAGUUGUUUAAAAGAUCUGAUGUGAAAAAAAAUGAAAAAACAAUUCAUAAAAUUCAUUGCUAUAUCACCUUUUGGAUGGGGACCAUUUUGGGUCCCGAGGGAUACCAAUGGAAGUAUAUUGCAAAAACUCUUAUUGCUCCAAAAAUAAUAAUGCAUCCAAAUCAAUUCUAUUCUGAAUUCUUUACCUAUCCAAGGCUCUAAUAACCUCAUGCCAAGUAGUUCCAUUUGCAACUCAUUUUUUGAAAAUAUUGCAUAUUAUGGUUUUUUACCCCCCAAAAUAAAAAAUAAACAGGGGUCUUUAUGACAAUAAAGCCAUAAAAACCUAAAAAAUAUGAAAAAAAUUAUGAAAAACUUUAUAUCAGUGGAUAGGUCUGAAGUUGUUUAAAAGAUCUGGUGUGAAAAAAACUGGAAAAAAAAUUCAUAAAAUCCAUUGCUAUAUCACCUUUUGGAUGGGGACCAUUUUGGGUCCCGAGGACCAUAAAAGGGUGUAAAUUUGAAAAACUCUUAUUGCUCCAAAAAUAAUAAUGCAUCCAAAUCAAUUCUAUUCUGAAUUCUUUACCUAUCCAAGGCUCUAAUAACCUCAUGCCAAGUAGUUCCAUUUGCAACUCAUUUUUUGAAAAUAUUGCAUAUUAUGGUUUUUUACCCCCCAAAGAAAAUAAACAGGGGUCUUUAUGACAAUAAAGCCAUAAAAACAUAAAAAAUAUUGAGAAAAUUAUGAAAAACUUUAUAUCAGUGGAUAGGUCUGAAGUUGUUUAAAAGAUCUGGUGUGAAAAAAACUGGAAAAAAAAUUCAUAAAAUCCAUUGCUAUAUCACCUUUUGGAUGGGGACCAUUUUGGGUCCCGAGGACCAUAAAAGGGUGUAAAUUUGAAAAACUCUUAUUGCUCCAAAAAUAAUAAUGCAUCCAAAUCAAUUCUAUUCUGAAUUCUUUACCUAUCCAAGGCUCUAAUAACCUCAUGCCAAGUAGUUCCAUUUGCAACUCAUUUUUUGAAAAUAUUGCAUAUUAUGGUUUUUUACCCCCCAAAAUAAAAAAUAAACAGGGGUCUUUAUGACAAUAACGCCAUAAAAACCUAAAAAAAUGUAAAAGAAAAUUAUGAAAAACUUUAUAUCAGUGGAUAGGUCUGAAGUUGUUUAAAAGAUCUGAUGUGAAAAAAAAUGAAAAAUUAAUUCAUAUAUGAUAUUGCUAUAUCACCUUUUGGAUGGGGACCCCUUUGGGUCCCAAGGGAUACCAAUGGAUGUAUACUGUAAAAACUCUUAUUGCUCCAAAAAUAAUAAUGCAGCCAAAUCAAUUCUGUUAUGAAUUCUUUACCUAUCCAAGGCUCUAAUAACCUCAUGCCAAGUAGUUCCAUUUGCAACUCAUUUUUUAAAAAUAUUGCAUAUUAUGGUUUUUUACCCCCAAAAAAACAGGGGUUUUUAUGACAAUAAAGCCAUAAAAACCUAAAAAAUAUGAAAAAAAUUAUGAAAAACUUUAUAUCAGUGGAUAGGUCUGAAGUUGUUUAAAAGAUCUGAUGUGAAAAAAAAUGAAAAAAAAAUUCAUAAAAUCCAUUGCUAUAUCACCUUUUGGAUGGGGACCAUUUUGGGUCCCGAGGACCAUAAAAGGGUGUAAAUUUGAAAAACUCUUAUUGCUCCAAAAAUAAUAAAGUAUCCAAAUCAAUUCUGUU
Astatotilapia calliptera (eastern happy) is the source of this 2340-nucleotide long non-coding RNA. NCBI's taxonomy places the organism in Eukaryota, Metazoa, Chordata, Actinopteri, Cichliformes, Cichlidae. The record is from Ensembl.